AAGUAUCCCAUAUCAUCAAGGUCGAACGCAUUCUUGAUUUGAUGGACUUGUUUUGACCCUCAAAUUCUUGAGUCAGCCUUAUACUCUGGAGGAAACCAGAAAACCCUUCAGCCCAGUUCAAGAAUAAGCCUGUGGAAAGUUACUUCUUCAAAAACAAAAGUAUCUCAUAUCAUCUCUUCUCCAUUUGCUUCUCCUUAUCCUUGUUGCUAUUUACGACACAAGGAGAAGGAGAACAAUCAACCGGAAGCCGAAGUCGAACCUUCGAUCCAGGUUGCUUACUUGGAAG
Molecule: long non-coding RNA, 286 nt
Filed under: Malus domestica (apple)
Lineage: Eukaryota; Viridiplantae; Streptophyta; Magnoliopsida; Rosales; Rosaceae
Description: long non-coding RNA (MDOM_LNC001814)
Source: RNAcentral